UUUUUUUUUUUUUUGUAUUUUUAGUAGAGACGGGGUUUCACCGUGUUAGCCAGGAUGGUCUCAAUCUCCUGACCUCGUGAUCCGCCCUCCUCGGCCUCCCAAAGUACUGGGAUUACAGGAGUGAGUCACCACGCCCGGCCGGAUUAUGGAUUUUUAAGAGGAAAACCACAGAGUUCUGAAUGCUGAGAAGCUCAAGAUCAAGAUACUGGCAGUUUUGGUGUCUG
Molecule: long non-coding RNA, 224 nt
Filed under: Homo sapiens (human)
Lineage: Eukaryota; Metazoa; Chordata; Mammalia; Primates; Hominidae
Description: HSALNT0318983
Source: RNAcentral